CAGUAGAGACAGAGGAGAGAGAUCAGAGGAGACAGAGGAGAGAGAUCAGAGGAGACAGAGGAGAGAGAUCAGAGGAGACAGAGGAGAGAGAUCAGAGGAGACAAUCAGAGGAGACAGUAUAGAGAGACAGAGUAGAGAGGUCAGAAGAGACAGUAUAGAGAGAUCAGAGGAGACAGAGGAGAGAGAUCAGAGGAGACAGAGGAGAGAGAUCAGUAGAGACAGAGUAGAGAGACAGUAUAGAGAGACAGAGUAGAGAGAUCAGUAGAGACAGAGGAGAGAGAUCAGAGGAGACAGAGGAGAGAGAUCAGAGGAGACAGAGGAGAGAGAUCAGAGGAGACAGAGGAGAGAGAUCAGAGGAGACAGUAUAGAGAGACAGAGUAGAGAGGUCAGAAGAGACAGUAUAGAGAGAUCAGAAGAGACAGAGGAGAGAGAUCAGAAGAGACAGUAUAGAGAGACAGUAUAGAGAGAUCAGAAGAGACAGUAUAGAGAGACAGAGUAGAGAGAUCAGUAGAGACAGUAUAGAGAGACAGAGUAGAGAGAUCAGAAGAGACAGUAUAGAGAGAUCAGAAGAGACAGUAUAGAGAGACAGUAUAGAGAGACAGAGUAGAGAGAUCAGAAGAGACAGUACAGAGAGACAGAGUAGAGAGAUCAGAAGAGACAUUAUAGAGAGAUUAGAAGCAGGGAGACAGUAUAGAGAGAUCAGAAGAGACAGUAUAGAGAGAUCAGAAACAGUGUAGAGAGACAGAGUAGAGAUCAGUAGAGACAGAGUAGAGAGAUCAGAGUAGAGAGAUCAGAAGAGACAGUAUAGAGAGACAGAGUAGAGAGAUCAGAAGAGACAGUAUAGAGAGAUCAGAAGAGACAGUAUAGAGAGACAGAGUAGAGAGAUCAGUAGAGACAGUAUAGAGAGACAGUAUAGAGAGACAGAGUAGAGAGAUCAGUAGAGACAGAGUAGAGAGAUCAGAAGAGACAGUAUAGAGAGACAGUAUAGAGAGACAGAGUAGAGAGAUCAGAAGAGACAUUAUAGAGAGAUUAGAAGCAGGGAGACAGUAUAGAGAG
This 1056-nucleotide long non-coding RNA is filed under the name Salmo salar (Atlantic salmon). RNAcentral describes it as "lncRNA (ENSSSAG00000108722.1)". The record is from RNAcentral. Lineage: Eukaryota; Metazoa; Chordata; Actinopteri; Salmoniformes; Salmonidae.